This is a long non-coding RNA of Pocillopora verrucosa, 2053 nucleotides long. RefSeq lists it as uncharacterized. NCBI's taxonomy places the organism in Eukaryota, Metazoa, Cnidaria, Anthozoa, Scleractinia, Pocilloporidae. The record is from RefSeq and is a predicted model, not a curated record.
AUCAAUAAUCUUGUUAUGUAAUAGAGCUGAUUUUGUCAUGGAACCCUUCACAGAUGAAGUGUUCUUCACAACAGUUUCGCUCAAAGCGAGAGCUUUUACAAUGAUGACGUGGAAGAAUCCGAGUGUAUUUUCGAAGCGCACUUUUCUCGUUUCGAGAGGUGAUCGCAGAAGAUGACAAUUAUGCAAAUGACGUGAGUGUUUUGAAGACAUUGAAUGAGGUCACAUAAUCUCCUGACCACUUGACUGGACAGCAACGAAGGAUGUUGUUUUGACACGUAGUCUUUUUCAAAAGCGCACAAUACAACAAGAAUGUAACAUGCUUGUUUUAAAGACAGGAGUAGAAAAGGCGCUAAAUAGAGAGUAUUAGAACUUAUCACAUGCUAAACCCUUCUUUACGACCCUUAAUCUUUCUCUCGCAAUGCCUUUCAAUAAUUACGUAAAUCUUGGAUCGAACUCAUCACGGACCUGAAACCUACGUAACGCAGGAACAAAAGAAAAACAUUCAGUGUUCGUGUGACUUGAAAUAUCGAUGAAACGUUCUCUUGUAUGAUACUUUACAGCAACCAAUCGCCUGCCGAGAAAAUCAUAUACAAUUCCGUCGUGAUGAGACAGUGAAGGCAUUGAUAAGCUCAUCUGGCCACAAGAUAUGGAAGCAAGUGUUUUGCAAUACAAAGGAAGGACUUGUUAAUCGAGCAAAUAAAAGAAGAAAGAAAAUCCUAAGAAAAAGUUUACAAUAAAUAUGCCACUGAAAAGAAACCCAGACAAGUAUUCCGUGCUUGUCACGUAACUGGAAGUUUCCUAAAACUGCUUCAAAACGGAUGAUUAAUUAAAAAGCCUUGAGGGCAAACUUAAAACGAGACUCGUGUGUAAAACGUGUUUGCGAGCAGAGAAACGUCCGAUUCGAAACAAAACACCCCAACAUCCUACAAGCUAAGUUGUCGGCAACAUCAAAGUGAAGCGAAUAUUCUGCUCGUGAAAUACCAUCACUGUUGUGCAACAGCCAGAUUACAAUCUCUACAUGGAGAACAAUGACUAAAUCUCUCAACACCGCGAAUAGAAUAUCAAUAACCUGGAAUAAGACCACCGAUACGGAGAGGGAUAUAAAGUUGAAGGUGUCAUUGCUCGAUCUAAGCGCAUAUUGUUAAUCGGAGCGUACACUUCAGUCGUGUGAUUUACACAAGCACGUUUUCAACCCGCGAAUACCUGCUUUAAGUUCAUUUCCUUAUCGUUACCCCUCAACAGCAGGUAAAUAUUUGUCAUCUCAGUUUCCAUCUGCGUGGCUGCUGAAACUUUGGCUGCCCUCAUCUGACCUUGUGGUAACUGUCUAUUUAUAGCUCUUUUGUCAAUAGUGACAGGUAUAAAGAGAGUUUGAAUUUCGUGUUCAACAACUCAGACCACCGUUGAGAACAUACACAUCAGCGUAACGCCCGGAGUAAACCAGAAGAAAUGACUCUGGUACUAAAUAAUAAUAUCGCCAUUACAACCACGACGCCGUCUUUAACGAGACCUAUUCCAAGUCCUGGGCCCUUCUCAUCAAUGAGUGGAAAUCAACCUCGCAGGUGCUCAGAAGACCGAAGCAUUUUUACUUAUUCCAACGCGUAUCCUAUCCCACACUGUGUUCACAAUAGUGGAAAAUUCGGGGUACAAGACAAAGACUUUAAUUCAUCAGAAUGCGACGUAGCUAUUCUCGACGACGAUGCGCUAACGUCUUUAAUCCUCGAGAUGGAAUUAGAGCAACUUAACGCUUUACCCGAACUUCAAGUAGUUAAUGCAGAUUUGACAGACUGUACUAUCAGGAGAUGAAGCGGGAAGCAGCAAGCUUCAGAAAGCUAUGGACAUACCGAAAUAUUGGCUGAAAAGAUAGCUAAAAGAGGAAAUUAAUUUAUUCUUAGUCGAGAUAAUUCUUUGCAGUUCAUGGAUGUAACGAACUACGAAACGAAAUGUGAGUUUCGUUCCCUGUCAAGCGAUAGGAAUUAUAACGACUUACCUCAACAUUGACAUUGUUGUAAAUAUAAUUUGUAAAAUAAUAAAUGUGAACAGAAUUUGCAUGGCA